Molecule: long non-coding RNA, 479 nt
Organism: Stegostoma tigrinum
Lineage: Eukaryota; Metazoa; Chordata; Chondrichthyes; Orectolobiformes; Stegostomatidae
Exons: 3
Source: RefSeq, a predicted model, not a curated record
AAUGAACUAAAACUGGAGGACUUCCUCGCCCAGAUCGAUCCGAAAUUUUAACUGAUUCCUCUCCUGCAACGUUCCCUCCGGAUAGUAUCACUUUUUAAGGUGGAAAACGGUGCACCGUAGGGCAGAAAUGAAAGUUGGGUGGUUGUUUGCCCCUAUAUGAAGAAGAACCUUACUCUGAUCACCCUGAGCAUCUGAUUUACUGUGCAGGGCCCCUCUGACUGCAGUCUACCUAUGUCAGCUUGAGUGAGGACUGCUGACUACCAUGACAAACUUCCUGGCUUUGUAAACAGCAAGGCCCCAAGACAGAAGUAAUCUCAGGCUGAAGAUGAUCCUUGCAGUUUCAAUUUCCUGAUUCCAGUACCAUGGCUAUCAAAAGCAACACUUCUGGAAAACUCUCAGACGUCAUCUUGUUUAUAUAAAUGUAGAAAAUUAUUUCAGAAAUUUCCAUCAAUUAAAAAACCUAUGCAAAACAAUAUUCU